AGCAGUGGGGAAUUUUGGACAAUGGGCGCAAGCCUGAUCCAGCAAUGCCGCGUGAGUGAAGAAGGCCUUCGGGUUGUAAAGCUCUUUUGUCAGGGAAGAAACGGUGAGGGCUAAUAUCCCUUGCCAAUGACGGUACCUGAAGAAUAAGCACCGGCUAACUACGUGCCAGCAGCCGCGGUAAUACGUAGGGUGCAAGCGUUAAUCGGAAUUACUGGGCGUAAAGCGUGCGCAGGCGGUUUUGUAAGUUUGUCGUGAAAGCCCCGGGCUCAACCUGGGAAUUGCGAUGAAGACUGCAAGGCUUGAAUCUGGCAGAGGGGGGUAGAAUUCCACGUGUAGCAGUGAAAUGCGUAGAGAUGUGGAGGAACACCGAUGGCGAAGGCAGCCCCCUGGGUCAAGAUUGACGCUCAUG
RNAcentral lists this ribosomal RNA (409 nucleotides) under uncultured bacterium. RNAcentral describes it as "bacterial SSU rRNA". It matches the Rfam family "Bacterial small subunit ribosomal RNA", at positions 350 to 751 of the family's 1533-position model. The record is from RNAcentral.